This is a long non-coding RNA of Megalops cyprinoides (Indo-Pacific tarpon), 657 nucleotides long. RefSeq lists it as uncharacterized. NCBI's taxonomy places the organism in Eukaryota, Metazoa, Chordata, Actinopteri, Elopiformes, Megalopidae. The transcript has 3 exons. The record is from RefSeq and is a predicted model, not a curated record.
CUCUUGUUUGCUUGUUUUGCAGUUGCAGAGAAAUCGCAGACAAACACGAUGUGGCAAUGCAAGUGUGGAGGUCAUGUGUGACCUUUGAACAGCAGAUCAAUGCUGCCACGCGAUGGUCCAGCAAGCUGCCCUCUCAUAUCAGACCUGGCUUUACGUGGCAGGGCAAAACAGACCCAUCGCAAUUAUCUGCACCCCUCCAUCUGCCCGUGGCCAGGACACGCAGCCCCCGACAGAAAGAGCAAAAUCAACCAAUUUUUUCAAGAAAAAGGUCACCUUUUGGGAAGUCCAGACUAAGCGAGUUUAAGAUGGACAGGUGGUCAGUGUCUGAUGCACUCCCAGCAGGUGUGACAGAGAGGAAACUGUGAGCACUGGGCACUGAGGUGCUGUAGAGAGGAAGACCAGCCUGACAGUGCAUGGAGGAGAAGUCUCCGUCUUUAAGCUUUAUUUUAAAGGCCUUUUAUCGCUGUCCAAGUAGCAUCUGCACCCAGACCCUCUGGGUAAAGAGACAGAAGAUGAAAUCAAAAGAGAUUCCACUCAGUGAGUUUCUCAAUGGACUGGAUCAAAUGAACCCUUCAGUUCUGUUACCUACAGCGUACAGUCAAACCUAAUUACAAGCUAAUGUAACUCCAACGCCACUCCCCCCCUUUUACAGUUUAA